This 467-nucleotide ribosomal RNA is filed under the name uncultured bacterium. Its description in RNAcentral is "partial 16S ribosomal RNA". It matches the Rfam family "Bacterial small subunit ribosomal RNA", at positions 28 to 523 of the family's 1533-position model. The record is from RNAcentral.
GAUGAAUGCUGGCGGCGUGCCUAACACAUGCAAGUCGAGCGGUAACAGGAGUAGUUUACUACUUGCUGACGAGCGGCGGACGGCUGAGUAACGCGUGGGAACGUGCCCCAAAGUGAGGAAUAACUGCCCGAAAGGGUAGCUAAUACCGCAUAUGAUCUUCGGAUUAAAGGAUUUAUCCGCUUUGGGAGCGGCCCGCGUCGGAUUAGGUAGUUGGUGAGGUAAUGGCUCACCAAGCCCACGAUCCGUAGCUGGUCUGAGAGGAUGAUCAGCCAGACUGGAACUGAGACACGGUCCAGACUCCUACGGGAGGCGGCAGUGAGGAAUCUUCCACAAUGGGCGAAAGCCUGAUGGAGCAACGCCGCGUGCGGGAUGAAGGCCUUCGGGUCGUAAACUGCUUUUAUAAGUGAAGAAUAUGACGGUAGCUUAUGAAUAAGCACCGGCUAACUACGUGCCAGCCGCCGCAGUAA